UGUCAGCGGGGGACAUUUAACUGCAUUCCAUGACUAUUUUUGCAAUGUUGGACAUUUAAUUCUAUAAAUACUAUCAUUAAUGUCCUGAAUAACCAUGCUUUAUUGCCAAAAUACGAAGUAUAAAGAGUGAAGAACAAUAUUUCAAGUAAAAAUCUAUUCUUAUUUUGUUUUCAUAUGUUUAUGGAAGCUUCAUAGGAAACCCUACAUAUUUUUCAACUUUACUGGGUAAUGCUUAUCUAAGAUUAAACAUAUAUUUCUGUUCAAAAUAUAACAUACCUCACAAGCAUAUUAUAUGAUCAUUAUUGCAGAAUCCUCAAUUGUAUACGAAGCUGAAAUUGAAUGAUAUUAGAAUAUUGUCUCAGAUCUCACAAACAAAAUGAAUAUUAGAUGAAUUAAAAGAGGUUCUAGUAAUGUCCUUUACUUCAUCACUAUGACUGAAAUCUUCUGGUAAGAGUUAUUUAAAAAUAACUAACAAAAAAUGCGGUU
Molecule: long non-coding RNA, 486 nt
Organism: Sitophilus oryzae (rice weevil)
Lineage: Eukaryota; Metazoa; Arthropoda; Insecta; Coleoptera; Curculionidae
Exons: 3
Source: RefSeq, a predicted model, not a curated record